GAGGGUAUAGCUCAGUGGUAGAGUGCCUGCUUAGCAUGCACAAGGUCCUGGGUUCAGUUCCCCAGUAUCUCCA
This 73-nucleotide transfer RNA is filed under the name Camelus ferus (Wild Bactrian camel). It matches the Rfam family "tRNA". From Rfam's summary of the family: Transfer RNA (tRNA) molecules are approximately 80 nucleotides in length. Their secondary structure includes four short double-helical elements and three loops (D, anti-codon, and T loops). Lineage: Eukaryota; Metazoa; Chordata; Mammalia; Artiodactyla; Camelidae. The record is from Rfam by way of RNAcentral.